GGGUCUGAGAGUGGGGUGGGUGUGCAGAGGGUGUCUUUGCGGCCCUGGCCCUCAGCCUGAGGGUCGAGAGGUGGUGGGCUCACUGAGGCGUCAUCACGCGGCACGUGGGUCCCCGAGGCUGUGUCGGGCGGGAGGACCCCUGACCCAGCCUGGCCGCAGGCCCGGCCCCCGUGGAGAUCCGCCGGCCCUCGGGGGCCUUGGAUGAGGAGGCGGCAGUGCUCAGUGCUGGCCCAGCCUCAGCCCCGGGCCUCUGGGAGCCCCCCUGCCCAGGACCUGGCCCCCACCCCCAGCCCUGGCGACCCCCCAGGCGUGGACGGGAUGGAGUACGGGGCUCCUCAGACACUGACCUUUGGGGGACGCGGUUGUGCGUAUUUUACUUUUCUUUGGCUCGUGUGUGAGUUCAAAGUAAAUGCCACCACCGUGGAACAACUCUUGACUUAAACCCACUAGAGCAAGCUUUAAACUAACCUGAGCGUAACCCUGCCACGUGCUCCAUGCUUGUACACGUUUGCACAGAUUUUGUUUAGUACAAUUUCAUAUUUGUUUGCAGAAUUAUCGAAUAGUCUUUUUUGGCUAAUAUUUUUAUAACGUCGUUCUUAUUUAACUGUCUAGUUUUGAUAGAAUUUACCAGGUCUGGCUGGAUUAAGAUAUUGGCAGCGUCAUGUUAGUGGUGUAAAUCCUCUUAUUUAUGGUUUUAACUCUGUAAGAAAAUUUAAAUAGGAAGAGACAAAAAAAAUGCCUUAUGGGAAAACUAAAGCAAAUUCUUUAUAGGAAAACAUAUGGGAAUUUGAUUAUGCAUAAAAGAUGUUUAUUUAAAAGGAAAAGAAAACUACAACAGUAACAAAAAAUCGUAGCCUCCAGUUGCCUUUCCCUUUAACUCCUUUUUUUGGUGGAUUACCAAACUGAUUGACUUUCAGCCUUUUUGGCUAGAUCCUGAGAGAGAGGCUAUUUUUCUUACUGAUGAACCAACGCGAAGAAAGUUAAAGACAAAAAAAAUCUAACAUAUGAAUGUGACUCACCAGGUUUUAUCAGCUAACUCCUUUCUGUGACUGAAGGCAUGCAGUUAACAAGACUUCGUUUACAGUGGGAACGUGGGAAGGAGAGGCUUCUGGAACCCUGUGUCUGUGACCCCCUCUAUCUUACUCCACACUCAGGGUAGAGGUGGGGACAGCGGGGGGGGGGCAGCAUGUCGGGGGCAGCCCAGGCUGACAGGGGGAGGGCCCAGGGCUGGCCCCGACCUACGCACCCGCCCUCCAGACACCCGUUGCAACGUAGAAGUAAUCAUCUCUUACUUGGCAGAGGAAGAAAAAUCAUUCUCACCCGGAAGAGAUUUUUAGCGAACGUGCACUAAUCUUACCUCCCUCUCCCCUGCUUUCCUCACCCCGCCCACCACUAUAUAAAAGUAUUAGGUAAGUCACAAAUGAAAGACCAGAAGAGACUUGCUUCUCCCCAGGGCAGGGCCAUUUCCCCUGAGUCCUGUCUGUCUGGUCAGCUGGCCUGGCGGGCACCUCAGUCUCACUCUACGUGGCGGACGUCUCACCUCUAGCACCAAGGGCAGCUGACAGCUGGGGGUCUCUCCUGGGGGGAUGGGGCCCCUCCCCCCUCUCUGGUUCCAGGAGCUCUGACCCUUGGCGCUGGGCACGGGAGGCUGACUCAGAACAGCCUGCUCGGGCCACUCCUGUUGCCAUGUAGAAGAGCUCACCCGUGCUCCUCCCUGGGGCUACCCCCGGCCCAGAGCUCCUGCCCGGCCCCUGAGACCUGGGGCUGGACCAUGGGCUCCGGAGUCAUCCACGAAGGCCCGUCUGGCCUCUCCCAGCAGCCUGGGGGAGGGUGGGGCAGGGCGGGGCUCGGGGCAAGGUGCUCCCCCGGGAGGUAGGGGCCAUCCCCCUCACUGGGCACAGGACCACGCUACUGGGGUCACGAUUCCCCGUGAGAGGGAGGGGCCCUUCCCGAUGGGACUUUAAGGCCCCGACGUCACAGCCAGUGGCCCACCCAGGCCCAGGCAGACUCCCGCCCAGCUCCUGGCUCAGGCCCACCCCCAGGUGCCUCGUCCGUGUUGCCCGUUGCACUGAUCAUGAAGCCGCUGGUGCUGCCACGCGUGUGGGACACAUGCCAUCAAGCUCCCUCCUGCCGGGCACCGUGGUAGGGGUGUCGCCCAGCCGUUUUCUCAGUCCCAGGGGCGGAUGGCCGGUUUGGAACUUGUGUUGACUGUUGAUACUUAUUUACUGUAUAAAUAUAAUUUAUCAUUUGUAUCAC
Molecule: long non-coding RNA, 2256 nt
Organism: Phocoena sinus (vaquita)
Lineage: Eukaryota; Metazoa; Chordata; Mammalia; Artiodactyla; Phocoenidae
Source: Ensembl